This 253-nucleotide ribosomal RNA is filed under the name uncultured bacterium. RNAcentral describes it as "partial 16S ribosomal RNA". It matches the Rfam family "Bacterial small subunit ribosomal RNA", at positions 524 to 776 of the family's 1533-position model. The record is from RNAcentral.
UACGUAGGGUGCAAGCGUUAAUCGGAAUUACUGGGCGUAAAGCGUGCGCAGGCGGUUAUGUAAGACAGAUGUGAAAUCCCCGGGCUCAACCUGGGAACUGCAUUUGUGACUGCAUAGCUAGAGUACGGUAGAGGGGGAUGGAAUUCCGCGUGUAGCAGUGAAAUGCGUAGAUAUGCGGAGGAACACCGAUGGCGAAGGCAAUCCCCUGGACCUGUACUGACGCUCAUGCACGAAAGCUGGGGGAGCAAACAGG